AUCAAUGGUGAUGAGUGGUACAGG
RNAcentral lists this non-coding RNA (24 nucleotides) under Cricetulus griseus (Chinese hamster). Lineage: Eukaryota; Metazoa; Chordata; Mammalia; Rodentia; Cricetidae. The record is from RNAcentral.